This 235-nucleotide unclassified non-coding RNA is filed under the name uncultured fungus. RNAcentral's name for it is "sequence contains ITS1, 5.8S rRNA gene". The stretch from base 187 to 235 matches the Rfam family "5.8S ribosomal RNA", at positions 1 to 49 of the family's 154-position model. The record is from RNAcentral. Lineage: Eukaryota; Fungi.
UCUCCGUUGGUGAACCAGCGGAGGGAUCAUUACAGGACUUGCAAGACUCCCGUAACCACUGUGAACCUACCUAUACUCGUUGCCUCGGCGGGUGCUCCGGCUCGCUCCGGAGCGCUACGCCCGCCGGUGGCCCAACUAAACUCUUGUAUUAUUUGUUAUCUGAGAGUUAUUUUUAAAAUAAGUCAAAACUUUCAACAACGGAUCUCUUGGUUCUGGCAUCGAUGAAGAACGCAGC